This is a long non-coding RNA of Mytilus trossulus (common blue mussel), 785 nucleotides long. RefSeq lists it as uncharacterized. The transcript has 3 exons. Lineage: Eukaryota; Metazoa; Mollusca; Bivalvia; Mytilida; Mytilidae. The record is from RefSeq and is a predicted model, not a curated record.
CUCAUGAAAACGUUGCUCUUGUAAAAGCGUUCUGGUGUCGAACAUGAUGCGUUCAAAUUUACCAUUUUCCCUGAACGCCAUGUGUUCCAAACAUAUCCGCGUACAUAACAGCGCGUGACGUAUUAAUGUACCGGAAGUUUGGUUUUUGAUCGUGAUUGAAGAAGCUUCACUGAAGAAAAUUAACAACAAAACUUGAUAUAAUAGGGUACAAACCCAACUAUACUGUACUUAAGGGUAAUUGUUCGUGCAUACCUCGAGAAUAAAGAGAACAUGUUGCAGUUCAAGAGAUGACUACUUAUCCUGCACCAUAAAAGUACUAUAUAACUUACGGUUGAUGGAUAACAAGGUUAAAGAAUAAUUAUAACCCAAGGAGACGAAUCCUCUAAAAAUGGAAGCUCAAAAUCAGUUGUAAAUGACUCAAAUCAUGUUUAAAAGUGUCCAAGGAAGUAGUGUUUCAUGAACACCGACUCGACUACUAGCAUCAUAUACACAGGGUAUUUUAUGUUUGAUAUUGACUAUCUGAGUGCUAUGCAGCCAGUGGAUUAUGGAACAUUUGGGUGAUAAAAGAGUCAGUGGCAUCAGUAUUUUGUUAAGAAAUUCAGAACAGUUCUUGACUUAGGAAGUUGCAAACGAUGAGUUAAACAUAAGACACUUGACUUUGUUGUAACAUAAUAAUUUUAAAUAUAUGACGAACAUUUUGUUUAUGAGUAAAUAUUUGGACACAUUUUGCAAAUUACAAAUGUUAUAUUUCUAACUUGUCUAACUUGUCAUUUUAAAGUUGCUUC